GUGGUCAUCGUUCAAGAGAAGGAUGCCUGAAUGCCAAUCAGGCGAUGCCGGUGCGAAUCCGGCUGACUGCACCA
RNAcentral lists this transfer RNA (74 nucleotides) under Spartobacteria bacterium LR76. RNAcentral describes it as "tRNA-Gly". It matches the Rfam family "tRNA". Rfam says of the family: Transfer RNA (tRNA) molecules are approximately 80 nucleotides in length. The record is from RNAcentral. Lineage: Bacteria; Pseudomonadati; Verrucomicrobiota; Spartobacteria.